GAGAUAGUAGUAUAAUAUUAGUAUGAUUUAUUUUCAAUAAAUAGGAAAGUUAUCUUG
RNAcentral lists this transfer RNA (57 nucleotides) under Teladorsagia circumcincta. Its description in RNAcentral is "tRNA-Glu". Lineage: Eukaryota; Metazoa; Nematoda; Chromadorea; Rhabditida; Trichostrongylidae. The record is from RNAcentral.